The sequence is a regulatory RNA element, 95 nucleotides long. It matches the Rfam family "THF (Tetrahydrofolate) riboswitch aptamer". From Rfam's summary of the family: THF riboswitch presents a pseudoknot that joins P1-P2 and the loop of P3 and two THF binding. The record is from Rfam.
AGAGGAGUAGGAAUUAGCGCGUUAAGUGCUGGUGGAACGGAAUGUGAACACCGGACGAAAGCUGCAGCUGCGAUGCUAGUUCCGCAUUCGCCGAU